CCUACGGGGGGCUGCAGUAAGGAAUAUUGGUCAAUGGGCGCAAGCCUGAACCAGCCAUGCCGCGUGCAGGAAGACGGCCCUAUGGGUUGUAAACUGCUUUUGUCAGGGAAUAAACCCCCGCUCGUGAGCGGGGCUGAAGGUACCUGAAGAAUAAGCAUCGGCUAACUCCGUGCCAGCAGCCGCGGUAAUACGGAGGAUGCAAGCGUUAUCCGGAUUCAUUGGGUUUAAAGGGUGCGCAGGCGGAUUGGUAAGUCAGGGGUGAAAUCCCACAGCUCAACUGUGGAACUGCCUUUGAUACUGUCAGUCUAGAGUAUAGUUGAAGUUGGCGGAAUGUGUCAUGUAGCGGUGAAAUGCUUAGAUAUGACACAGAACACCGAUCGCGAAGGCAGCUAGCUAAGCUAUAACUGACGCUCAUGCACGAAAGCGUGGGGAUCAAACAGGAUUAGAUACCCUAGUAGUC
This 460-nucleotide ribosomal RNA is filed under the name uncultured bacterium. RNAcentral's name for it is "bacterial SSU rRNA". It matches the Rfam family "Bacterial small subunit ribosomal RNA", at positions 338 to 795 of the family's 1533-position model. The record is from RNAcentral.